GAUGAACGCUGGCGGCGUGCUUAACACAUGCAAGUCGAACGGGAAAUAUUUCAUUGAGACUUCGGUGGAUUUGAUUUAUUUCUAGUGGCGGACGGGUGAGUAACGCGUGGGUAACCUGCCUUAUACAGGGGGAUAACAGUCAGAAAUGGCUGCUAAUACCGCAUAAGCGCACAGAGCUGCAUGGCUCAGUGUGAAAAACUCCGGUGGUAUAAGAUGGACCCGCGUUGGAUUAGCUAGUUGGUGGGGUAACGGCCCACCAAGGCGACGAUCCAUAGCCGGCCUGGGAGGGUGAACGGCCACAUUGGGACUGGGACACGGCCCAGACUCCUACGGGAGGCAGCAGUGGGGAAUAUUGCACAAUGGGGGAAACCCUGAUGCAGCGACGCCGCGUGAAGGAAGAAGUAUCUCGGUAUGUAAACUUCUAUCAGCAGGGAAGAUAGUGACGGUACCUGACUAAGAAGCCCCGGCUAGCUACGUG
Molecule: ribosomal RNA, 478 nt
Filed under: uncultured bacterium
Lineage: Bacteria
Description: partial 16S ribosomal RNA
Rfam family: Bacterial small subunit ribosomal RNA
Source: RNAcentral